This is a long non-coding RNA of Gorilla gorilla gorilla (western lowland gorilla), 1354 nucleotides long. RefSeq lists it as uncharacterized. The record is from RefSeq and is a predicted model, not a curated record. The transcript is spliced from 3 exons. Lineage: Eukaryota; Metazoa; Chordata; Mammalia; Primates; Hominidae.
GGCCAGGUGUAGGUUUUAUGCCUCUCUCUGUCUCUUUGCAUCCAAGGGGUUGGGUCAGUUCACCCAAACAACUGUGACCUGCCAGUGAGAAGAGAUGGUUCCCUAAAGAGAACACAGAUGAUUUAAAGCACACAUUUUGUUGACUGCCUUUUCUUACCGAGAAAGUCUAUGUGCAGAAAUUGAAGGUGAUAGAAAAGAAGAAGAAGCCUGGUUCUUGUUACAGAAAUGGAGCUGUGGAUGGGAAAAGGACAGGAACCAAUAGAGUGGAGCUUGCAAAUUGGGCCAGAGUGGAAUUGUUCAGACCUUAGCGACGAUGAGAGGUCACCGUUCUCUUUUUCAGCAUCCUCCUGUCUUUCUUCCUCUCUCCCCAACAUCUCAGGCAGCUUUGAGCCUCUCCUCCAAGCAAGUGACUAAGAGACAGAUAUUUCAAGAAUAUUGUAUUGAAGGUGUGCCAAAUGAUUAGCCUCUACAUGAUACUGAAGAGUCUUAAGUCUGCGCCUCUGGAGAGCCCAAAAGGGAGACAGGUUUCUUCUGCAAAGACUCAUCUAUGAUCCCUGUUGUAAGUUAUUAGUUUAAUGAAUACUUGCUGAGCAUCCAAUAUGCUAGGAUAUUGUGUUAGGUGCUGGGGACACUCUCAAAGCUCCUUAGUCAAAACCCUCCAGUCUACAGACCUCUCCUUUGAGCCAGUGGCCCAUGUGACCUCCUUCCUUGGAAGGCCUCACCCUCAGCACAUUCCAACUGAAUCACUGCUCCGUUCCAAGCCUCCCAUUCCUUCUGGAUCCUUUCCUGGUGAGGCAGCACUAGCUACCCAGAUCUGUAAGCCACAAAUGACCUUCUGCCCCAUGGCAUCUGAUCCAUCCUCAAAUGUUGUCCAGGCUCACCCCUCAAAAAUAUCUACUGCUGUCCACCAGCACUGCCACCACCUCAGUUGCAGCCACCAUCCUCUCUCCUGGACAACCACUGUAGCCUCCAAAAGGUACUCCCGCAUUGGUUCAGUUGUCACACAGAGAGAACUUAACUCUUUCCUUUCCUCCACUUUUAAAAGCCUCUGGGUUUUUUGUUUAUCUUUGGAACAAAAUAAAAGUCUUUGGUUCCAGCCCCUACUUAGCUAAUUUCUUCAUCUCUCCUCUUCUUCCCUUUGUAUGUGGAUAUGAAGCUGGGGAAAUAAGUGAAUGUCUGGACUCCAGGCUGUGACAUUGGUGACUUUGGGGUGUGAGGCUGGGGAUGAGAAAGGAGGUGGGUAGAGGGAGAUUUUUCUCAUGUAUCUUUGAACUGUUUCACUGGCUAUAGUGAAUACAAGUUAACUCUGUAAUAUUAGCAAAGAAAAUUAAUAAAGUAUGCUUACAUAUUGUCC